This is a long non-coding RNA of Ipomoea triloba (trilobed morning glory), 1464 nucleotides long. RefSeq lists it as uncharacterized. The transcript is spliced from 2 exons. NCBI's taxonomy places the organism in Eukaryota, Viridiplantae, Streptophyta, Magnoliopsida, Solanales, Convolvulaceae. The record is from RefSeq and is a predicted model, not a curated record.
UAAACCCUAGCUUCCAAAUCCGCUGAAAUACAACCCUAACACACUCCUUCAUCUCUCAAUCUUAGUAGUUCGUAGUCUAUAUAAGUAUUUCUCUGAUAUGUUUGGUUUGGUUAAAAGUUCUAUUUUGCAUAAAUGGUUUUAUUUGUCCGGUGAAAUUGCAGUUUGCGUUUCCAUUGAUCAAAUUGUUUUAUGGUUAAAUUGGAGAGCAAGUAAGAAUUGGGCAACUUUGCCGAGGUGAUAUACUUUAUGUUGAUCGCCUCUUUUCCCUGUUGCCUAUAUUGUGAAAGGUCAAGCUUGGAGCUAUGUUGAAUGGUAUUAGCAUUUUUAUUUUUGAUACCAGACACCUCUAGCAUGACUAGAUUUCUUCAUCUUGCUUAAUUAAUCUUUAACAAAUCAUUCUAAAUCAUGUUUGCAUUUUUAGUGAUGAGGUCCUUUCUUUCUUGUACUUUUUGAUCUGAAGAAGUUUGGUUGGGAACAUGAUUCCCUAUAUGACGAGGAUGUUAAUGGCUAUGGAUUUAUAUCCAAUGAUGCUUUCAUUUGUCAUAGUUACACUGAUAGGGCAUCAUGUUUCAUUGUUCCAUUAGGUCCUUUUUUUGUUUUUUCAUUUAUUGAGCAUAAUUUACUCCUUUUGAAUAUACUUUUUCUGUAUUUCAAGGGUGUAUAGCCAUUUGAUGAAUCGACAUCAUUUGGCCAUUUGGGUAAACUUGAUGUUAUAUGUAUCAGCAUUACAUAUGAGCAAAUGCUUGAUCCCUCUAAAUGACAGAACAUUUUGUCAGAGGCUAUGGAAUUUACAUUCCAAGUGAAGCUUUUGUCAUAGUUGCUCUGAUAGAGCAAGUUUGCUUGAUUUGCUUUAGAACAUUUGUUACUCUCUUGCUCAAUCUCUGAACUUGCCUUUUAUCAAUUUUUCCAUGUGCACACGUUUUAAAAGUUUUUGCAGUGUAGCAUUCUGUUUGCUAAUACAACCAUACAAGAGCAUGUAUGCAGCCUUUGUGGUAUUGGUUUAGUGGAUUAGAAGUCUCACUCGAUGGGGUAGGAGAUUGAUACUUUCCAAUAUUGGGGUUUGGGAUGGGCAGUUUGUGCUGUUGAGCGUGGAAGUUAAAUUGGCUGGAUAUACCAAUUUCAUGGGGUCCAAAAUAUAGUCCUACAAAGACAGUCCUACAAAGACAGGUAUUGAAGUGCACAAAGUGAGAACUAUGGGGAUAGAAAUCAAUUGGAAUUGUAUUUUGGUUUUUUCAUUAUUCAUUAAGUGAGCUUUGGUUUGAGAGGAAAAGUUAGCACAAUAGGAUACAGGUGACGAAAGCAUGCUUACGCUCCCGUGACUACAGCUACAGCUCAAUAAAGAAGAGUUAAUUUUAUUUUUGAUUUUAGAUUUAUAGAUACAGUUUAGUCCUUUUUUAUUAGAACAUUUAUUUUUUGUUUGUAUACCAUUAUUGGUUCUUUAUCAAUAAAAUAUUUUAAAUAUCA